UACGUAGGGUGCGAGCGUUGUCCGGAAUUACUGGGCGUAAAGAGCUCGUAGGUGGUUUGUCGCGUUGUCCGUGAAAACUCACAGCUCAACUGUGGGCGUGCGGGCGAUACGGGCAGACUGGAGUACUGCAGGGGAGACUGGAAUUCCUGGUGUAGCGGUGGAAUGCGCAGAUAUCAGGAGGAACACCGAUUGCGAAGGCAGCUCGCUGGAACGUUACUGACGCUGAGACGCGAAAGCGUGGGGAGCAAACAGG
RNAcentral lists this ribosomal RNA (253 nucleotides) under uncultured bacterium. RNAcentral's name for it is "partial 16S ribosomal RNA". It matches the Rfam family "Bacterial small subunit ribosomal RNA", at positions 524 to 776 of the family's 1533-position model. The record is from RNAcentral.